GACGAACGCUGGCGGCAUGCCUAAUACAUGCAAGUUGAACGAUGAUAUUCUCUGCUUGCAGAGAAUUGAAGAGUAGCGAACGGGUGAGUAACACGUGGGGAACCUGCCCAUGAGAGGGGGAUAACAUUCGGAAACGGAUGCUAAUACCGCAUAAUGCUUUGGACCGCCUGGUCCAGAGACGAAAGACGGCUUUUGCUGUCACUCAUGGAUGGCCCCGCGCCGUAUUAGCUAGUUGGUGAGGUAAUGGCUCACCAAAGCUGUGAUACGUAGCCGACCUGAGAGGGUGAUCGGCCACACUGGGACUGAGACACGGCCCAGACUCCUACGGGAGGCAGCAGUAGGGAAUCUUCCACAAUGGGCGAAAGCCUGAUGGAGCAAUGCCGCGUGAAUGAAGAAGGUCUUCGGAUCGUAAAGUUCUGUUAUUAGAGAAGAACAAGUCAAGGAGUAACUGUCUUGACUUUGACGGUACCUAACCAGGAAGUCACGGCUAACUACGUG
RNAcentral lists this ribosomal RNA (498 nucleotides) under uncultured bacterium. RNAcentral's name for it is "partial 16S ribosomal RNA". It matches the Rfam family "Bacterial small subunit ribosomal RNA", at positions 28 to 507 of the family's 1533-position model. The record is from RNAcentral.